Molecule: long non-coding RNA, 462 nt
Organism: Gossypium raimondii (Peruvian cotton)
Lineage: Eukaryota; Viridiplantae; Streptophyta; Magnoliopsida; Malvales; Malvaceae
Exons: 2
Source: RefSeq, a predicted model, not a curated record
UCUCAUUUUAAAACCCUAAAUUCAUUCCCUUUCUCUGUCAUUUUUGUGUUUUGCCGCAGCCUCCCUUUCCCACUGCCGCUCUGCAUUCCUUUCAUUCCGACGAUGGAAUGAAGAUCCCUCAACGCCGCAUGCGACGAAAAUUUUUCGCAGGUAUGAAGGUCGUGGAGGACGUGCGCAAAGUGCUGAACAUGGGGCGAUGUUGAGGCGUGGGUGAGGUUGCCGCGGCUGCUAAUUUUGCUGCUAGCUGUUUAGGGUUAGGCCAGGGUUAGACUUCGGUUUGGGAUUUGUAAUGAUUUGGGCCUUAUUGGGUCAGAAUUGGUUAAUUUGGGCCCUGGGCAACAAUUGGGUAUCACAGUACUAAUUAUAUUUUUGAGCUUUUUUGGCCAUCAACUUUUGUUUUUUUUCUCAAUGUGUUUUUUCUAACAGAUUUAAUGAAAAUACCGUUAAAAAAGUUAACGGGAA